UACGGAGGGUGCAAACGUUGCUCGGAAUUAUUGGGCGUAAAGCGCACGUAGGCGGCUAUCUAAGUCGGAUGUGAAAUCCCUCGGCUUAACCAAGGAAGUGCACCCGAAACUGGAUAGCUUGAGUACAGAAGAGGAUCGCGGAAUUCCCGGUGUAGAGGUGAAAUUCGUAGAUAUCGGGAGGAACACCAGUGGCGAAGGCGGCGAUCUGGGCUGAUACUGACGCUGAGGUGCGAAAGCGUGGGGAGCAAACAGG
RNAcentral lists this ribosomal RNA (253 nucleotides) under uncultured bacterium. RNAcentral describes it as "partial 16S ribosomal RNA". It matches the Rfam family "Bacterial small subunit ribosomal RNA", at positions 524 to 776 of the family's 1533-position model. The record is from RNAcentral.